Long non-coding RNA from Eucalyptus grandis, 1345 nucleotides. RefSeq lists it as uncharacterized. The transcript is spliced from 3 exons. The record is from RefSeq and is a predicted model, not a curated record. Lineage: Eukaryota; Viridiplantae; Streptophyta; Magnoliopsida; Myrtales; Myrtaceae.
GUCUGAAGACUGCGGUUAUAGGCACUUCUAAAUGUUUGAAUGGGAGAGUUUUUUUUGGUUUUUCUGACGAUGUUGGAUUAGUUAAUCGCUAUAUGUUCAAAUAGUGCGGAUGUUUUGUCUUUUCUGUUUCUGAACGAGCCUUGCUGUGAACUCAUGCUGUCACUUUGCAUUCAAUUUUGUCAAUCCAGUGAAACAAAGUGAUAAAUACAAUUGACUAUUUUUUUCCUAUUUGCUAAGUGAUUAUCACAAAAUGAAAUCAUUGGCUCAAUAGGACCAGUAAAGCUACAUUGACCAAUAAUUUUGAUCGGAACAGUAUAGAAUUUUUGGUCAAUUAUGCAUUGUGAAAGUGCAAUUUGGAGGCUUUACAUGCAUUGUUAUGACAUCGGUCAGUAAACAGAAAAUGCAACUCAGUACUGGGAGUUUACAAAGUUGUAGAGGCAUGUCACUUGGUGGCUGAUUGUUCAUUUGCGAGUCCAAGUUUGACAACCAACGAAAGCUGUUUACCAUUGAUUAUCGAGUUAAGGUAGGAGCCUGGAUUUCCUGGAGAAAAUGGUUCCUCAAUUAUUACAGACAUCAGCAUAAAUCCUCGUCAAUCAUUCGCUCCAUCAUGCAAGAAACCGGCCCUACAAUUGCCCUCGACCUGGUCUUUCUGCUGCUGUGUCUGAAUAAUUGGACAAGAACAGGGACGGGUUUGAGUUUCGCCAAGAACAUAUUGUUCUUGCUUAUUCGUCAGUUGUAAUACAGAGAGAGGGGAGGAGAGAGAGGCAGGAAGAAUGGGGAAAGAGAAAGCGGGUUUGGUCGCGUUGCUGAUAAUUGUGCCGAGCUGGUGUGUAUCGUUGUCCUCCUACUCCUCCUCUUCUUCUUUCAGAGGUGAUCUGAGCAGAGGCAAGGUGCCCUUGACUUUCAGACGCCACAUCCGCUUUAUCGACCCAACAAGGACCUAGUAAUCUGCAGGGACCCAAUUUGCGCGUCCCUGCAUUCAGGCAACUACAGAUGUGACCACCCAGAGCAAUGUGACUACGAGGUGGAAUUGGAUGGCGGCUCUUCUCUUGGUGUAAUUGUAAAGGAUGUCGUUUCUUUCAGGUCCUACAGCAACAGCAGGCUUCUUAGUCCUUGUGUCACCCUUGGGUAGAUGUGAAUAUGAUCAGAUACCUGGUCCGUCCAAUCCUUUCUUAGAUGGAGUGCUUGCGCUCGGUAAGGGAAGGUCCAGCAUCGUAUCACAGCUAAGUAGUCAAGGUUUGGUGGGUACUAGGCCACUGCUUGAGUACACGUGGUGGUGGAUUUCUCUUCUUCGGUGAUGAUCUUUAUGACUCCUCCCGCAUCACAUGGAUGCCUAUGUCUCAUG